UACAAAACUUAUGUUUAGUUUUGUCUGUAACUUAAAUAAACUUCCAUUGUGUUUUAAAGAAAUCAAUAAAUAGGAAUAUGUUUAAUUUCUUCAAAUAAAUGGAAUUCAAUGCCAUAUAUGAUUUUAUAUUUAAAUGCAUAUUAUACAUCUUAAAUUUUCUUUUUUACAUAACAUUAAAUCUGAGCUUAUCUCACAGUAUGUUAGAUUAACUUUAUAAUAGAUAAAGCACAAAAAUAUUUCCCCCAUAUUUUUAUAAGUAUUCAUUUGAGUGUCAUUUUACUCAUUAGUUAUAAGUAAAAUGUGUUAUGGAUUGUGCAAAUGUGAUAUAAUCAAAACAUUUUCUUUUCUUUGUCAGAAUGUCCACCAUUUAAAAACAGAGUGUAUGCUUGUCAUUGAUCACAAAUAAUUAAAAGUUAUGGUCUGGGAAAAGUCUAAAAUACAGCAUAAUUUGAGAAUUUUUUAAGGCUUUAUUGAAGCAUUUUAAAUUAUUUUAACUAUUUUUAAGUGUAAACAGAUUGAGAUUGAAAUAUGCUACUUUUUUACUAUUUUCUCUCUGUAUUUGAAACGUAACUGAUAUGAAAUGUAAUUGUUUUUAUAUUGUCACACAAAUGUAAUAUUUUCUUGAUUGUUUUAUUUUAUUUUUCUUAAAUUUUUCAGAAAUGCAGGAAGAAAUGGCCCCUGCCAUUAGUGGUUACUGAUUGAAGCAAACACAAAAAAGAAAAUUCCCUGCUUGGGUUACCAACAUAGUAGCUGGGAUUGAAAAAAGGCAUCGAGAGAAGAU
Parasteatoda tepidariorum (common house spider) is the source of this 781-nucleotide non-coding RNA. NCBI's taxonomy places the organism in Eukaryota, Metazoa, Arthropoda, Arachnida, Araneae, Theridiidae. The record is from RefSeq and is a predicted model, not a curated record.